AGAAGGAGAAAAACAGCAGAAGAAGAAGAACGCGUUUCAAGCUUUGAUCCUCCAUUUCUGCAAUUUUUCCUUUGAUUUAUAGAGGUAAGUUUAAGUAUGUUGAAUUAUAUUUUUAAUUUUAUGGAAAAAUUUCUCAAAUUUAAGGUUUAGCAAAAAUUAAUGUUUAUUGAUAUAUGUUUGAUGAAUUAAACAAAAAUAGUAAUAUUAGUGCUGAAAGAAAUGAAAGGUGAAAUGGGAUUGUAAAUUAGAGUUUCAAUCUUUAAUUUAUUGUGUUUAUAUUAUAUAAAAUGCUUGAUUUAUGAGGUAUUAGAGUGGUGAAAUGAUUUGGGGUAAGAUUUUGAUAAUUACAAUUACAUUUCGUGCAAAAUUCAUGUGUAGGUGCUAAUUCUAAAAUUCUGCCAUAUACAAAAAUUGGUGCCAGAUUUCUAUAUUCUAGAAUUUUAGUGCUAUUUUUAUCAAACCAUGGAUUUCCAGAUUUUUAAAUGUUUGAAUGAAUAUAUAUGACAAAUAUUGAAGUUUAUGUAUUUGACUAACUAUGUAUAGGGAUUGUAUAUGUAUAAGGUAGUGAUUUUAAGGAAGUGUAAGUGGUGUAAAGAAUUUGAUAGUAUAUGAUGAUUAGUUGAUAAAUCAAGGAUUGCUGGUUGGCGGGCGAUGGGGUGUCAUUACGGUGACAGGAUAUUCAAAAUUAAUAAAUCAAAUCCACGUAAUGUAGCGAAACAUUUUAAUUUCAACACCUUAUUUUCGUUUUUUAGGGAUAUUAUUUUAUGAUUUAAGGCGUGAUUUAAUUGUUUUAUAAAAUGAUUUGUGAAAGAUACAUUAGUGAGAUUAAUACAUUAUCAUUUAGUUAAUAAAUGUGAAAUGUGUGAUUUCUAAAAUAUAUACUUUUUUGCGAUGAGUUCCUUCUAUUACUUAAAUUGUACUCAUAAAUUUUAUGUGUUUUUGUUGUUAAAAUAAAUUAAUUGUGAUUUCAAAUCCUUAGAAUUUUGGUCGUUAUAGUUUGGCAUCAGAGCCUAAGUUUAUUUUUUGUUGUCUCAUUAUGAUUUUAUGUAAUAAUUUUUAAAAAUUUUUCUUUUAUAUUGAUGAUCAUUGUUAUAAAUGUUUACAUGUUUAGCCUAGAGUUUUAGUGAUAAUUGUUGUCAAUUAAUAUUUUUCUUAAGAGAAAUAAAUUUUAAAGAUGAUAAAUUUUUUUAUACUGUUCCUUUAAGGAUGGAAAGUUAUUGGGAAAAAAAUUGACGUGUCACUAUUCAUGUGAACGGUAAAUAGUGAACCAAAAAAAAAAAAAUUGAAAAAGGAAAGAUGUAUGCACCAUAAUUAUCUUGGAGAAUCAUGAUCAAAUUACCUGGAUUAGUGCUGGAAAGUUGAAAAUAUCCUUUAACUUUUAACUUAAUGUUAAUUGCAUUAAUUUGGUACUAAUUGAUUUAAAAGUUUGGAAAUUAUUAUCUGUGCUAAUCCUUGGGUCUUUGAUCUCCUUUACUUUCCCAUUUGCUCAUACACUUUUAAUAGUGAGAGAUAAAUAAAUAAAAUGACUCUUUUACCUUUUUUUUUUUUUUCUCCAAAUAGUAGUAUUUUUCUGCCACUUCCAUCCCUGCUUAUGCUCUUCUAUUAUUUUCUUUAUUUUUUCAAUUGUUCACUUUAUUAUGGAAAUGAUUAUUGCUGUUAUUUAAAGUUUGAAAUGUGUUCACGUUAAUUUAAAAGUAUGAUAUUGAUAUAUUAUUUACAUUCUUCUAUAUCAUUUUGAAAAAAUAAUAAUAAUAAAAAAAUAGAAGAAGGCUUCGUUACUUUCAUAUGUAUCUUCUACCUGCUGGAAUUCAAACUUUCUUCAUGAGGUACAAAGUUAUACUAACUUAAUAAACUAAAUGGUGGUUAAUUAUAUAUUGCAUGAUAAUAUUAUUUGUUAAAUCCUCUGAAUGACCCUGAGUAUGUAAGUGCAUGUAUACGUGUGUAUGGGUUUGUAUAAUUUAAAUAUAGAAUUCUUAGUUUUUGAACAUUUUCCCCAAAGCCCAAUGCUAUAAUUAACAAUUCUUAAAUUCUCUACACUUUCAAUUUACUGAUUGUGUGUAUAUAUAUAUAUAUAAAAGGUUGAACCUCAACCCUGAGGGCCUUCACCGUCCCGCCCUUAGAGCUUUGUGAGGGAGAUAAAUCGCGGGAGCCAACAGGUCAGGGAACAAAAGCUACCUAUACACUGAGCUUACAAGGAGUCCAAAUCCAUAUCUCAGGAAUCGAACCCCUACACUGCAGCUGCCAGCAAGACGUGAGAUAACCUCACUCAUGUCCUUUGUACCAUUGGACUAUGCCCCGAGGGGCUACUGAUUGUGUGUAUAUAGUUGUAUGUAAGUGUGUUUGCACAUUUCCAUGGCUUCUCUAUUUUCUUUCAUUUAUUUUCCAUUAAAACCAUUAGCUCAUAUUGAAUUUAAAACCACUGCCAAUCAAUACUUAAAGCCAAAUUACAUUAAUUUAAUAUUUUAAUUACAUAUCUUGUCAUAUUGGUAAGAGCUCUAUCCGGCGGAUAGUAGGUGGGUCAAGGGCCAGUGAAAUGAAAAAUUUCAAAAGAAAUUAUUUUGAAUUGAUUUCGACAAAUAUUUGAAUACGAUGCAUUUUUAGCAUGACGUGAUGUAAUAUAUUAUUAUUAUCAUACUCAUGACAUGUAUGAUUUUUGUUUACUAAGCAUUAGUUUAUGUAAUUCUUGCAUUGUAGGUGAGCAUAGAUGUUCUAGUUGGCUGUAAAGCUUUUAUGGGAUUUCAGAGUUUAAUGUACAUGGAUGCCGACCUUUAAGGUUAUUUUGUAGACUUCAACUAUAUUAUAUUUUGGAAACUCGUAUUGUAUGUACAUACCUUUUGAAGUGGCCUCUUGAUACUUUUAUUAUUACAACCCAAAUUUUACUGGUCAAAAAUCAAAAGUAGAAUUGUAAAAGUCAAAGUAAAAAAGGGAUUAAAAUGAAAUAAAUUAUUUUAAUUGGGACUUAAUUUAUUACGACAAAUAUUUUGAAGGUUUAAGUUUAACAAAAUAAAAAUGUUGGGAUCCAUUUAUAUAUUUUAGGAAGUUCAGGAUUUAAUUUACAUUCUACUUAAGAAGAGGGGGACUUUCCUUGUAAUAUGGAGUAAGUGGACCUUUAUAUUACAACCUUUGAUCCAUUUUACAAUUGAAAACGCACACAAACACAUACUAGAGCCGGCUGAGAGGGAGAGAAACCGAGAAGAAUUGAGAAAGAGGUAGAGAAAAGGAAAACAAGAUGGAGAAAAGAAGAAAGAAAAGGAAGAAGAAGAAGAAGAAGAAGAAGGAAGAGGAAGAAAAAAUGAUGGCAAUACCAACAUGGUCCUUAAAGUUCUUCCUUAAUUUCUUCAGGUUAGUAAAAGAUGUAUUUAUGGAAAAUAAUUCUUGAAUUUAAGGUUUGUAAACAAUUACUCAUGUUUAAAGUUUGACAAUAAUUAAAGAUUAUGAAUAUGUAUUUGAGGUUAUAACUAAACUAUGGCAGAGAAAUAUGUAAUUGUCAAUUAGUGUCGAAGAAAGUGGAAUUUGAGAUGGGUUUGUGAAAGAAAUACAUAUUAUUUGAAAUUCUUGGGACUAUAUGAUGUUAAACACUUAAAUUAAGGAUUUGAUGUUGAAAUUCUCCAUUUUUUCUAAAGAAAUUUUCGGGUUAAGUAAUGAAGGUGCUAUUUAAGAAAUUUUCCCAGAAACGUGUUAUUUCUAUCCAUAUUUUGGUACACAGUUUUCAAUAUACAGAAUUUCGUGUCAUAAUUCAAUAUUGUGGAACUUUAGUGCCAUUUUUGUCAAACAAAUGUUGAAGCCUAUGUAUUGGACUAAAUUAUAUACAGGGGUUGUAUAUAAAGUAUUGGACUAAAUUAUAUAUAGGGGUUGUGUAUAUAAAAGCUAAGUUAUACCAUUUUUAAUAAACCCUAGAAUUUUUAAUUACAUUCUAGAGUAAAGAUAGUUUGGGAAAAUGAUAGUUAUCACAAAAUAUUCACUUGGAAGAAUGGUUAUAUGGAACAAAAUGUAAAUUUAAUUGGUUGAAUUAUGGUUAUUAGUUUUGCUAGAUUGAAAGAUGGGAUAAUUAUUUUCAUGAUUAGAAUAAAGGUAUUCUGAUGAAUUAGCUAUUAGAAAAUGGAGUAGAAAAUGGAAUUAGCUUAAAGUGAUUAAAGGAAAUUGGGGAAAAUUAUUCAAGUAUCGAGAAAUCAAGUUUUAGAUACGAUCAUCAAUAUUUAAAACUACUUAGCAGGAUAGUGUUUAAAUUAGUUAUUUUACAUUGUCUUUCAGGUGAUGGCCAAGAGAUGGGGAAAAUUUGUCGACCAUCAUAACCACUAGCUUGUUUAGAGUAAGUGGAAAUAAAACUUAUUUUUUCAGAAAUAAGUAUUUAUUGAAUUUUGAAGUUACGAAUUUUAUAAGUUGAGUUGAUAGCAUGAUUUUUCAUAAUAAAAUGAAUUUUAUUAUCAAAUGUUUUUAAAGGUUAAAUUCAAUUCAGUUAAAUUAUUUCAUUGGCAUAUUAUUUCAGUAUUAAAAUUUUUAGCAUAUUUAACGUUAUUAUUUAAAAUCACCAGAAAGUGCCCAUGUGAUUUUACCCGCUUUACACUGGUGUGAAUGUAUUUUCUUAGUUUAUGACCAGUUAUGGUGAUUUUACCCGCUCUGCACUAUUGUGAAUGUGUUUCCAUAGUGUAUGACAAGAUAGCUCUGUGCGCGUAUGACCAGAAUUUCAGAAUUAAAUAACUUUACCAUGUAUAUCGGUACUAAUCGAUACAUGAGUAAGGUUAUUCCGAGGUAUCAUUUUGGGUGAUUUUCCAGUAUUAUACAGCUAAUUAGAUUUUAGACUACAAAAUUUAGCUUAUUCAGUUUUCAGAGUAAUGAUUUAUUUAUAUUUAUUAUACCUUACAGCUGCUUAUCUAGAAUUAAGAACAAAGAAUUUUAUGAUACAAUAAUGUUUAGUUUUAAAAGUGUUACUAAAUUUCAGAAUUUCUCAAGGUUUUAAUAGAGCAAGAAUUUUCAGAAAAUAUGUAUAAAUGGAUAAAAUAUACUCAUUUGCAAAUUAUCUACUCACUGAGCUAUAAGCUCAUAUAUUUUGUAAUCCCUUUUCUUUUCAGAUAGUAGCUGAAUUGAGUAGCGAUAGAGCCUGUUGAUUUGCCAAAUUGAGCAACGCAUUAUCAUUAGUUGUAUAACUUGUUUUUUUCUUUUUUAUAUAUUUCAUUUACUAGAAUACAU
RNAcentral lists this long non-coding RNA (5187 nucleotides) under Olea europaea subsp. europaea. The record is from RNAcentral. Lineage: Eukaryota; Viridiplantae; Streptophyta; Magnoliopsida; Lamiales; Oleaceae.